Long non-coding RNA from Cervus elaphus (red deer), 2112 nucleotides. RefSeq lists it as uncharacterized. NCBI's taxonomy places the organism in Eukaryota, Metazoa, Chordata, Mammalia, Artiodactyla, Cervidae. The transcript is spliced from 3 exons. The record is from RefSeq and is a predicted model, not a curated record.
CCUGGCUACAGGAAUUUGGGGUCAGGAGGUUGCAGCAGGACCUAGGAAUCUGCACUUUGAGUAGGAAACAAGGGAUUUUAGAACCACAGCUUAAGAAAUGUUCAUUUGAUCUUCAAAGAAACUUAUAAGGCAGGAUGGUAGGCAGCCUCCCUGAUGGCCCCUGCUGAUCCUUGCCUCCUGGGGUCCACACCCUUUCCACAAUGAAUAAUGGCAAGCCUGUGUAGCUGAGAGGAUUCUGUGGACAGUGGGGCUUCCAAGUCUAGGUUGUAAUAGGAGACACUCCAACCUCUGCCUGGCUCACUCUCAGCUGGCAUGUGGUGAGGGCACUCAAGCAGCCCCUGGAGAGGGCCACUUGCAGAGGAACUGCAAUGCCCAAGCGAGGGCUGGCACCUGUUCACUCACCAUCUGAGUGCACCUUCUUGCAAGUGGAUUCUCUGGCCCCAGAACAGCUUUCAGAUGACUGCAGCCAUGGCCGACAGCUUUAACUGUAACCUCAGGAGAGACCAAGGAGCCGAAGCCACUCCCAAAUUUGAUCCACAGAGACUGUGAGAUGUUUAUUAUUUUAAACCACUAAGUUUUGGUUGUUAGUAAGAGACAACAAAUACAGGUAGAUACUAUUAUGAUCGUGUCCAUUUUGCAGAUAAGGAAACAGUCAUUAAAGGGUCCUCAGAUCAUCUAAUAAUAGAGUUUAACAAAAACCAGGCUGGGAUGAUUUCAAAGCCAUUGCUUUUCUAUCAAUAAGUAUACCCUAGGGGGCAGGAGAAGAUCACAGACCAUUAAAAAGAUUAACUGUUUUACCCCUCCCACUGUUGGCCAAGGUUACUUGGGGUGGUCCCUACCACUCUGGGGUUUGGAGGGGUGGCUUUAGCCCUCUGGGUACCUGUGAAGCAGCACACACUCAAUACCUGAGCUGUGGAACUCUUGGCCUUGAGAGUGAUUUCUAGAAAAGGCAUGCCAACUGUCAUGGGCCAAACCACCAGGUACAGUCUGGCUUUCUUAUUCACUAGGAGGUGAUGGGAGGUGGGGCUGCUGGCCCAACAGAGCAGCUCAACUAGGAGGAAGAGGUGGUGGGAAGAGGAAGAAGAAGCGGGAAGCAAGGGCUGCAGAAAUCUGAGGUCAGGCCGGCACUGGGAGUGGGCCUUGCCACUCUCCUCUGGCCUGUCAUCUCCUCAGGCAGAUGGAACCUCCUAACCUAGAAGUGCAAGUCUGACCAUAGCAAUCCCCUGCCUCGUACGGCCCAUGGCUCCUCAGUACCCUCAAGAGAAAGGCCUAUUUCCCAGCAUGACGCAGGGGGCUUCAAGAUCUUACCUUGUCCCUCCUCCUCUCUCCAUCCUCACAAGUUCCAGCCUCCUUUGCUUUUGUUUCCCAAAUCCCUGUCCCAUGUCUUGCCAGCUAUUCCUUCUGCCUGCCUCUUAUGCUUCUAACUCCAGUUGUCUUUCAGGGGUCAGCUGAGAUGCCUCCUUCUCCAGGAAGCCUUCCUGGACCCCACUACUCAUGCUCUCAUGGUGUUUCCACCGUUUUAAGCACUAAGUACCCAGCAGGAUGUGUGGAAAAACUGGGGUGAUCAGAAGGUUUCCAGACAAAGAGGAAAGGUCUUGGGAUGCCACGUGCCCUUGCCUCCUGGGUGAGUAAUAUUCAGUGCUACUUCGGAAACUCGCCUGACAUUACUGGUCAAGAAAAAAGACAAACCUCCUGCAGCUUGACGCAUAGAGACUCACCAUCACGGGGUGAAGGAACCCAACCCCCCCCACUCAUGAAAACAAUGAGGAGACUGAAGCCCUAGUUAUACAGCUAGGACACAGGCGAUGCUGUGUUGGUGACCAGGGAGCCCCUUGUGGCAUUUUUUCAUCAGGAAGCUGGAGGCACCUGCCACUCACACCCUCCACUGAGGUGGGCACAGCUGGUACACUGACUGGUCUCAGGGCCAUGGCCUGUGGCCUCCAACUGGGGCAGGGCACAGUCUUGGCUCCUCAGAUCUAGACCCAGCAUCUAACCAGCUUCCACCUGUUGCAAUGAGUGGAAAGUGGAUUCCAACCCUUCCGUCUUCCUCUGUUGGAGCGCACAGCACAGUCGCCAGCCGAGAUAUCCACAGGAUCCAGGCAGUUGGCACAG